CUGUGCUGCACGUGACACCGAGAAUCUCUAGUUUGAUGCACGAUCCUGAUCGGCCCAUCGCUGAAUUUUCUGCUCUCUUUGCGCUCAGUCCCGGGCGGGGUUUUUCCUGACCGAAAUCAAAUUGUCCAAGGAGACAGAAAAAUGUCCAAUCGUCAAAGCGGUACCGUCAAGUGGUUCAACGAUGAGAAAGGCUACGGCUUCAUCACCCCUCAGUCGGGCGACGACCUGUUCGUGCACUUCAAAGCCAUCCAAGCUGACGGCUUCAAAACCCUGAAAGAAGGCCAGGCUGUUACUUUCGUCGCUACCCGCGGCCAGAAAGGUAUGCAGGCUGAAGAAGUUCAGAUCGCCUAAGUCGAUCGAGCUUUCUAGCUUUCAAAAAAACCCGCUUCGGCGGGUUUUUUUAU
This 404-nucleotide unclassified non-coding RNA is filed under the name Pseudomonas sp. URMO17WK12:I11. RNAcentral's name for it is "cspA". The record is from RNAcentral. Lineage: Bacteria; Pseudomonadati; Pseudomonadota; Gammaproteobacteria; Pseudomonadales; Pseudomonadaceae.